CGCGUAGGCGGUUCGCUAAGUUGGAUGUGAAAACUCUGGGCUCAACCCAGAGCCUGCAUCCAAAACUGGCGGGCUAGAGUUCUGGAGGGGGUAGCGGAAUUCCUGGUGUAGCGGUGAAAUGCGUAGAUAUCAGGAGGAACACCGGUGGCGAAGGCGGCUACCUGGACAGAAACUGACGCUGAGGCGCGAAAGCUAGGGGAGCAAACAGGAUUAGAUACCCUGGUAGUCCUAGCCCUAAACGAUAGAUACUUGGUGUGACUGGGAUUGAAUCCAGUCGUGCCGAAGCUAACGCAUUAAGUAUCCCGCCUGGGGAGUACGGUCGCAAGGCUGAA
This 332-nucleotide ribosomal RNA is filed under the name uncultured bacterium. Its description in RNAcentral is "bacterial SSU rRNA". It matches the Rfam family "Bacterial small subunit ribosomal RNA", at positions 568 to 898 of the family's 1533-position model. The record is from RNAcentral.